Arachis ipaensis is the source of this 145-nucleotide non-coding RNA. Lineage: Eukaryota; Viridiplantae; Streptophyta; Magnoliopsida; Fabales; Fabaceae. The record is from RefSeq and is a predicted model, not a curated record.
CCAAUUAGCUUGAGGAAAACGUUCACUCUUGCUUAUGUGAAGCUUGGGUUGUGAAUAAAUAAUUGGAGCUUGAAAUUGUGAAUACUGAAACUUGGAAGAAGCGGAUUAGUUGAGAUUUUAAGGGCUGUGUUCUUUUAGGAAAAUU